AAAUCUGCUGGAGGGGAAACUGAGAGAACGGAAUUAAACAAAGAAGAAGAAGAAUUGAGGCCUCCAACGCCACAAAGUCCUGCUCAUUCAGGAGGAGUCCAGCCAGAGGAGGAGAUGGAAACGGGCACUGAAGCAGCUUCAGCUGAACAGCAGCUGCAGCCUGAAGGUUCUGACAGUCAGAACCUGGAUGGAGGCUCCAAAGAAGACAAAGAACAAACCACAGCUGACCUAAAAGAUCAGACUCCAAAUGCUGAGGAGGAGAAGAUGGAGGAGAAGGAAAACAAAAGGAAACAAACCAGAAAAAGAGGCCGAACCAGGAGAAAAACCAGAAACACAACCGGUAGCAGAGCUCACAAGCAGCUGCACAAGUGAUGUUUAAUGCUAAAAAUAAAAAAAGAUUCACCACUAUUGUGUCUUGUUUGCAGUAAGCACUGCUGCAGUAGAAAAGACUGAGGAGACUAAAGACAGAAGUGAAGAAGAAGAAGAAGAAGAAGAAGAAUCACAGCCUCUGGAGCCGCUGGAUUCCUCCUCAGCUCUGAACACAGACACGUCGGCUUUAUCAACAGAGAUCCAGGAGGAGGAAAAAGAUGCUGACGCUGCUUUAACUGAACAGCAGCAUGAAGGUCCUGACAGUCAGAACCUGGAUGGACGCUCCAAAGAAGAAGAAGGACAAACCACAGCCCACCUAAAAGGUUUGGGAUUUGUCAAAAGCCAGAGUAAGAACCUUGUUGAACCUGUGAGGAAGCGAACCCGCCGGUCUCUUUGUGGCGCUGAUGAUUACAACCUGCCACCAUUCAGCCCAGACGUCUCCUUUGGUAAGGAGUUUACGGUCCGUAAACUGGGAUAUUUCUGUUCCCUCUGCUCUGUUUUCUACCUGCUUGAGAACGCUGAAGAGGAAGAGCACUGCUGCAGCAAAACGCAUUACGAGAACCUGCUGAGGCAUUACCAGAUGGAAGCAGAGCAACCUUCACCACCUCCAAGAAGGAAGACCAGAAGCUCCCGCUGAUCCUGAUUUAACUGGACGUGUUUUACUGCAAAAACGGAGGAGUCAAACUUUAGUUUCCAUCGCUUAAAUUGUACUCUAACUGAAGUGUGAAACUUUGAGGGAAAAAAUAGGAUAAAAGAGCACAUACAAUACCAUAUAUUAGUUUUUUACAGAAAAAAAAUUUAAUUGUGGGGAGCUUUGAUGUCCCAAAAAUUCUUCAACACAAUUUUUUCUGUGUUUAAUCUUUCAAAACCAUUUGUCAGACCUCUUAGACUAACGCUUGCUUAAAACUCCAAUGAAGAAGCAGCUGGGGUCUCACAGUCUGCUCUGAUUGGUCGGCUUCCUCUCAGCCUCUGAAACUUGUUUUAGAGUUAAAAAGGUUUUAGGGAACUACUCAAUGUUGAUUUAAACUGGAUGUAACUAACGCCAGGAUGAAUAUUUCACAUUGGCUGUUUUUAUAUACGAUGUGGGCGGAGUUAAAUACGAACUAUGUAAAGACAGACAGGCGAUUAGGGCUGAUUCUGAAUAUUGUAGUGAUUUCCUCUUUUGCAUUAGUCAGGCUUCCAUUGCUCGGCCACGAGUGGUAGAAAAUCUAGCCACUGGUUUUAACUAGAGCUGUCGGAUUAAUCAUGAUUGAUCGUUUAUUGAAAUAAUCGUCAACUAAUUUAGUAAUGGAUUGAUUAUUAAAUGGAAUAUAGAGACUCUAAAACAUUCCUUUAGCUGACAGAGAAACCCACUUAGAGCAGUAAUCUUUUUUUUUUUUUGUUUAACUGUCAUUACACUGUCACAAGUACAGAGAAACGAAAUCAACUCUCUGAAACGAAAAUCAGCUGUAAUUUGUAUUCCUUGAUUCAUUGAAUUAAAAAAACAAAAAGGAAUAAAAGGUUUUA
Molecule: long non-coding RNA, 1875 nt
Organism: Cyprinodon variegatus (sheepshead minnow)
Lineage: Eukaryota; Metazoa; Chordata; Actinopteri; Cyprinodontiformes; Cyprinodontidae
Exons: 5
Source: RefSeq, a predicted model, not a curated record